ACUUUAUUUUAUUAUUAUUAUUAUUAUUAUUUAAAUCUGUGAUGAGUUACACUGAGUGACAGAAAAUUCUUGUUCUCUUUCUACUUUCUUUGGGAACCUGGUACAAUUGUCUCUGUCUCUUUGAUUUGUGUGUUUGAUUUGUGUGUUUUGGGUCCCUCUUCACAAUCUGAUGUCUUUCUGAAACUGAAGAUUAUGAGAUUAGGCACAAGUGUGCAUGUUAUCUUCUUUUCCUCUCCUUUGUGUGUCUUUCUUCCCUUGAUUUUCUUGAAAACUGAGAGUAAUUGAAUACAUCCCAUUUCUACCAUAUUUUUGCAGUGUUGGUUGGUCCAAAUUUAGAAAUUCACCAUAUUUGCUACUUUUCCAAAUUUUGCUAGGCCUUUAAGCUGCCCUAAGUUUAUCCUGAACUGAAGUACUAUGGGAUGAAAGGUUCUUCCCCCAUCCAAAGAGCUCUAGGAAAACACCAUCUUCCAGAUUCCUAGACUAAAAGGCAAUUGCUGUCUCCUUAAUAAAGAGUGCUCAGUCUCCUCUAGUAAACCUAAAGACAAAUGUGUUUUGGAAAUGUCAUAGCAAAUCAAAAGCUUGAUCAUAGGCUGCUAGGGAACCAUUAUGAUUGAACUGUAAGAUGGUUGUGCUGAAUUUAUUGCUUGUGAAUUAUGUAAAGUGUAAAGCCUGAGAACAUUAUCUCAGACAUAAACAGACUGUGUUCACAAAACAAAGUAUUUGCAAGUAAAGAGAUUUGCUACUUAAUUAAUCUAUUGUGAGAUGGAAAGCAAGGUCAGGAUUCUAAUUGUCCAGUUGAAAGAAUAAUCCAAAAACCAAACAAUGAACUCAGCAGUUUUACAUACUGUCUUGAUGGUAGUUUGAAAACCAGCAUAAAUAGUCUUUAAUAAUCUCUAAUAUAACUUCAUAGCAAACAAUAAACCAGAUGUCCUUUUCCUUACUCAUUGCAGCUUAUGGGUUAACAACAUUUAGUAAUGUUUGGCCUUGGAUGAUUGUUUGACUGUUAUUCAACUUCCAAAAAUUAGGCUUAUUAAUUUGUUUGAUUAGUUCACUUCUCUCACCUUCUAGUUGAUGAGUUCAAUGAAUUAAAAAAAUAAAACAAAGGCAAGGAAAAAAAAAAAAAAAAAAAAAAAAAAAAAAAAGAGCCAGAGCUUUUGAAAACUUAGGUAUGGAAAAGUGUACAAUUAUUAUUUAAAAAAAAAUCCUGCAGCUACCUUUUAGAAGAAUAUAUCACAAGCAUUAAACACAGGUUUCCAGUUGCCAAAACUUCUGCUUAGAUUAAAUUCUUUAUUUUCUGUUAUGUUCAGGCAGUUCAGGAAUGCAUAGGCAAUGAGUUCUCCAGAGAAUAAAUAAGAGGUUGAGGGAAUGAUGCAGCACCUUAGGCAGACUGAAGUGAUGUUAGCUUACAGGUAACUGCAACAAUGCAGAUGAAAGGCAACAGUCUCUGGGAUGGUCCCCACAAAUGAAAGUAAAAUUAUGGAAAAAUUAUAAGUAUCUAUAGUGAGAAGGAGCAAAAUGUAGAUAGGUCAGCACUAUGGUAUGAAAGUUGUCAUGUCCAAGAAUCAUGCCAAUCUGAAGGACAAGAAUGUCUUGGGAACCAACCAGAGCAAGGAUAGAUAAAUUAGUGUCUUUGUCCCUCAGCUGAUCAGCCAGCUGGCAGAAGCUCCCAGCCCCAGUUCCUGUCUGCCAGAUCUCCAUGGACCAAGUGGCACUGCUCCUCAGGAAGGAUCAGCCAAGCAAGACACUUAUGGCUGGGGGCAAGUCAAGAACUGGAGCACUGUGAUGCAUUAUGCACUCAAGAAAAACUGGCUUCAAGGACACUCUAAUCCUGCACAGAAAAACAAACAAACAAACAAAACAAAACAACAAGGUGCUUUAUUCAGUGAAUGAUAUAGAGCCUGUAGACUGCUUUGUCUCCAAAUACUGGUAGAGCAAUUGGGGAGUUAAACCCAGCUUCAUUCUCACACUCGUGGUAGUCACACACUUUAUUUAUAUUCCAAGUACAUUAUUUCCACACUUAAAGAAUGCUGAAUGUAAAACUAAUAUGAUGACAUUUUGCUAAUGUAGAUACGUCAGUCCUGGAGGUCUUUGAAGAAGAAAGAAUAUCAGAUAGAAUAUUUGGAUGGAGUGAACAUGCAAUAUGGAAACAGGUAAGUUGCUGUUGUUGUUUCAUUUCUAUAUAUGUAUAUAUUUGGGAGUGGUGACACACCUACAAAACCACAAUCCAAAUACCUACAGACCUGAGAACCAGUGGGUUUAAGGUAACACAGUUUUGCAGAGGAAGCUACUAGCUUUCCCAAUGAUGAAAGCUAGCAAUCUCCAUUAUUGCUGUGUAGGCUGAAUGAAACUUAAGCAAGCUUUAUCCAUGCUAGGUGUCAGCCUCAGGCUGAAAACCUCUAGAACUUGUCAGCAAGACUUGUUCAACCAUUUCAAUUAGAGAAAAAAAAUAACUGUCCCAAGUUAAGGAAAAACAACAACAACAACAACAACAACUUUAUUUUCACUGGAAAGGUUUGAACUCCCACACUCAGCAGCAGGAUCUUGAACGCUGACACAGGGGUAAUACAAACUGAAUUUAACAUCUCAGUAAAAAAAAAAAAAGUAAAUUCAAAAUUGGUCAGAUGCUUCUUAGACACCUUUGUCUGAACAUUUAUUUUAGUGAUUGGCAGUUAAAAUCAGCUGUAAGAAGGGCACAUAGGUACAACCUAAUUUCCAUCAUAAUCUUUACAUAAAUUAAAUUGAAACUAUUAUAUACUUCAGUCAUACAUCUUCAUCUCUCCUAACACAGCUGUGAAACUGUGUAGCAAAGGAUGCAGAGGAAAGCAUCUACAUUUUCUGCUGAAUCCAUGAUGAAAAAGAGAAAGUGUGCUCUGUAUGCUUUACCUGGUCAGAGAAGCGCAUGGAGACCUAUAAUGUUAUGUGCAAGUUUGCCCAGUCUUCAAACCCAAGCAGCUGUGUUUCCUUGCCUGGACAUGGAGAAAUCUUCCUUGGGCCGUAUGCCCAAAGCUUCCACUUUUCAAGCUCCUUUUCAAGCUGUAUACCCAAAGCUUCCACUUUCAAGCUCCUUCCACCCCUUCAGCUACAAAUUUCACUUCUAAUGCAACUAUGGGAGAGAUUAAACAAAAUGCAUCCCUCUGCUUCAAUUAAUAAUGCGCCUCCUGCAGCCUUCUUGACCUGACUGGCUGAACCUGCUAUCCCUUCCUCACCGCAGUCUGACACGAAGAAAUAUGAAGAAGCCCUUACUCACCUCAGGGAAUAAAAAGCUCAGAAGAACAGGAAGGUGAGUAUGAAAGGGAGAAACCAUGAAACAAAAAAAAAUAAAAAUGAAAGGGUUAAAUUGAGGUGAGGUUUAAGGGAACAUGUAAGGGAAAGGAAAUAUAAAUAGAAAACAACAACAACAACAAAAAAGACGAAGUAGGAAGAUAUUGAAGAAUGACUGUUGGUAUGAUGAAAAUAGAAGGUUGAUAAGGCAAAAUGAUGUUGUAGAGGAAGUAGAGGAUAGACUAACAUGGGAAAGAUUAGAAGAGGCUGUCUUGAAGGAACAGAGAUACAAAAAAA
Molecule: long non-coding RNA, 3558 nt
Organism: Oxyura jamaicensis (ruddy duck)
Lineage: Eukaryota; Metazoa; Chordata; Aves; Anseriformes; Anatidae
Exons: 2
Source: RefSeq, a predicted model, not a curated record